GUGCCAGCAGCCGCGGUAAUACGGAGGGUGCAAGCAUUAAUCGGAUUUAUUGGGCGUAAAGGGCGCGUAGGCGGGUGUGCAAGUUAAAUGUGAAAUUCCGAAGCUCAACUUCGGAGCUGCAUUUAAGACUGCGGACCUUGAGGAUUGGCGGAGAAAAUGGAAUUCCACGUGUAGCGGUGAAAUGCGUAGAUAUGUGGAAGAACACCGGUGGCGAAAGCGAUUUUCUAGCUUAUUCCUGACGCUGAGGCGCGAGAGCAAGGGGAGCAAACAGGAUUAGAUACCCUGGUAGUCCUUGCCGUAAACGAUGUAUACUUGAUGUAGUUAGGCUCAACCCUGACUGUGUCGUAGCUAACGCGAUAAGUAUACCGCCUGAGGAGUACGCUCGCAAGGGUGAA
This 395-nucleotide ribosomal RNA is filed under the name uncultured bacterium. Its description in RNAcentral is "bacterial SSU rRNA". It matches the Rfam family "Bacterial small subunit ribosomal RNA", at positions 505 to 898 of the family's 1533-position model. The record is from RNAcentral.